This is a long non-coding RNA of Xenia sp. Carnegie-2017, 653 nucleotides long. RefSeq lists it as uncharacterized. The transcript is spliced from 2 exons. The record is from RefSeq and is a predicted model, not a curated record. Lineage: Eukaryota; Metazoa; Cnidaria; Anthozoa; Malacalcyonacea; Xeniidae.
CAUGAUGAUGCGGUAAGACGAAUGAUCGCAUAUUAAAAGAGAAAUAUUUCUUUACGGAUUCAAAACAUAUCAUCACUUUUAAUGGCAAAAAUAAACAUAAAAUUCAAAGACGAUAAACUUACCAAAUUCAGAAUGGACGACGUAAAAUGUCAAUUAAAUAGCGUAUGUUUCCCCAUGAAGUAGCCUGCCGAAAGAAAUGCUCUUUUACAUUGGAUUCGUGGGAUUUACUACACAGAACACAAAAGCAUUACAAUAUUAUGACGCCAAAAAUGCAAAAAGUAAGGAAAAUCUACAGCCACUGCCAAUGAUGUCAAACAAUACAGCCUCCUUUUCGUGUAUUCAAAACCACAAGAUCUAAGAAUAAAUUUUCAUACAAAGACUCUAGAGAAAACGACUGAGUUUACACACAAACAGGAAAACUCUUGGAUUUCUGGACUAUAAGUUAGUUCUAGAUGUUUAUAAACACUCAUAGCAUAUAUACGUUAGUGUAUUACACGAAGGUAUUGUUGUUAGCAUAAAAAACUUUGAAAGAAGAAUUCUCCAAAAUUUUUUAGCUAUAUUACAGAGUACAGAUCAUUGUUGAGAGUUCUGAUAGUUACAACCAAUGUAGUUAUGUAGGAGCAAUCAGCAGAACAACCGUCCGCAGGAUUAAA